RNAcentral lists this ribosomal RNA (474 nucleotides) under uncultured bacterium. RNAcentral's name for it is "partial 16S ribosomal RNA". It matches the Rfam family "Bacterial small subunit ribosomal RNA", at positions 355 to 821 of the family's 1533-position model. The record is from RNAcentral.
UAGGGAAUCUUCCACAAUGGACGCAAGUCUGAUGGAGCAACGCCGCGUGAGUGAAGAAGGUCUUCGGAUCGUAAAGCUCUGUUGUUGGUGAAGAAGGAUAGAGGCAGUAACUGGUCUUUAUUUGACGGUAAUCAACCAGAAAGUCACGGCUAACUACGUGCCAGCGGCCGCGGUAAUACGUAGGUGGCAAGCGUUGUCCGGAUUUAUUGGGCGUAAAGCGAGCGCAGGCGGAAUGAUAAGUCUGAUGUGAAAGCCCACGGCUCAACCGUGGAACUGCAUCGGAAACUGUCAUUCUUGAGUGCAGAAGAGGAGAGUGGAACUCCAUGUGUAGCGGUGGAAUGCGUAGAUAUAUGGAAGAACACCAGUGGCGAAGGCGGCUCUCUGGUCUGCAACUGACGCUGAGGCUCGAAAGCAUGGGUAGCGAACAGGAUUAGAUACCCUGGUAGUCCAUGCCGUAAACGAUGAGCGCUAGGU